UACGUAGGGGGCAAGCGUUGUCCGGAAUCAUUGGGCGUAAAGAGCGCGUAGGCGGCCCUGUAAGUCCGCUGUGAAAGUCAAGGGCUCAACCCUUGAAUGCCGGUGGAUACUGCAGGGCUAGAGUCCGGAAGAGGCGAGUGGAAUUCCUGGUGUAGCGGUGAAAUGCGCAGAUAUCAGGAAGAACACCAAUGGCGAAAGCAGCUCUCUGGGACGGUACUGACGCUGAGGCGCGAAAGCGUGGGGAGCAAACAGG
RNAcentral lists this ribosomal RNA (253 nucleotides) under uncultured bacterium. RNAcentral's name for it is "partial 16S ribosomal RNA". It matches the Rfam family "Bacterial small subunit ribosomal RNA", at positions 524 to 776 of the family's 1533-position model. The record is from RNAcentral.